RNAcentral lists this non-coding RNA (678 nucleotides) under Brassica napus (rape). Its description in RNAcentral is "Eukaryotic small subunit ribosomal RNA". It matches the Rfam family "Eukaryotic small subunit ribosomal RNA", at positions 1117 to 1823 of the family's 1831-position model. The record is from Rfam by way of RNAcentral. Lineage: Eukaryota; Viridiplantae; Streptophyta; Magnoliopsida; Brassicales; Brassicaceae.
GGGGGAGUAUGGUCGCAAGGCUGGAAUUGACGGAAGGGCACAACCAGGAGUGGAGCCUGCGGCUUAAUUUGACUCAAUACGGGGAAACUUACCAGGUCCAGAAAUAGUAAGGAUUGACAGACUGAGAGCUCUUUCUUGAUUCUAUGGGUGGUGGUGCAUGGCAGUUCUUAGUUGGUGGAGCGAUUUGUCUGGUUAAUUCCGUUAACGAACGAGACGUCGGCCUGCUAACUAGCUACGUGGAGGCAUCCCUUCACGGCCGGCUUCUUAGAGGGACUAUGGCCGUUUAGGCCAAGGAAGUUUGAGGCAAUAACAGGUCUGUGAUGCCCUUAGAUGUUCUGGGCCGCAUGCGCGCUACAAUGAUGUAUUCAACGAGUUCACACCUUGGCCGACAAGCCCGGGUAAUCAUUGAAAUUUCAUCGUGAUGGGGCUAGAUCAUUCAAUUGUUGGUCUUCAACGAGGAAUUCCUAGAAAACACGAGUCAUCAGCUCGCGUUGACUACAUCCCUGCCCUUUGUACACACUGCCCGUCGCUCCUACCGAUUAAAUGAUCGGGUGAAGUGUUCGGAUCGCGGCGACGUGGGUGGUUUGCUGUCUGCGAUGUCGCGAGAAGACCACUAAACCUUAUCAUUUAGAGGAAGGCAAAGUCGUAACAAGGUUUCCGUAGGUGACCCUGCGGAAG